This 593-nucleotide long non-coding RNA is filed under the name Anser brachyrhynchus (Pink-footed goose). Its description in RNAcentral is "lncRNA (ENSABRG00000020584.1)". Lineage: Eukaryota; Metazoa; Chordata; Aves; Anseriformes; Anatidae. The record is from RNAcentral.
UGCAGAGGGACACCAUACUGUGUAUGUGACCCCUCUGGUCUUUGGGUUAUGAUUUAGUCACAACACUUUUUCCCCCAACUUUCAGGCCCACUUCCUCUGGAUGGGAAGACAGAUGAUCAAGUGACAUCUGCACUAAGUCUAGCAGUUCUCACUCAGAGGAUUCUGUUGGUGCCUUAUCCGUCCUGGAUGAUGUAAAGAUUCUACAGAGAGUGCUAAGAACUUCAAGCAGGGUAAUACUGACUCUUAGCAGUACCUGGCUUACUAAUGGUAAGUUUGAGACCCCUCUGAUAACACAUUUGAAUGCUCAGAUUCUUAUUUAUUUAUUUUUAACAGAAGCUACUUUCAUGCUAUAUGGUUAAGGUCAUCAGAUAGUACUCAAAUUCAUGAUUUAUAUGAAGUUCUCCUAUAAGGUCAGGUUAGCAGGGUCCAUAGGAAUGUUUGUUUGAGGACAGAUAUUUUGUGCACUUGGAGAAUGGAAAAAUUACUCAGUGUCUCCCUUUUUCAUUCUGUUAGUCAUUUUAUAAACAACUCUAAUGGUCUAACUUUACAUGUCUAUCAGUAUCCUAAUAAACUGAAGGAAUAAGCACUCUGCA